RNAcentral lists this small nuclear RNA (164 nucleotides) under Pteropus alecto (black flying fox). RNAcentral's name for it is "U1 spliceosomal RNA". It matches the Rfam family "U1 spliceosomal RNA". Rfam says of the family: U1 is a small nuclear RNA (snRNA) component of the spliceosome (involved in pre-mRNA splicing). Its 5' end forms complementary base pairs with the 5' splice junction, thus defining the 5' donor site of an intron. There are significant differences in sequence and secondary structure between metazoan and yeast U1 snRNAs, the latter being much longer (568 nucleotides as compared to 164 nucleotides in human). Lineage: Eukaryota; Metazoa; Chordata; Mammalia; Chiroptera; Pteropodidae. The record is from Rfam by way of RNAcentral.
AUACUUACCUGGCAGGGGAGAUACCAUGAUCACGAAGGUGGUUUUCCCAGGGCGAGGCUUACCCAUUGCACUCCGGUUGUGCUGACCUCUGCGAUUUCCCCAAAUGUGGGAAACUCGACUGCAUAAUUUGUGGUAGUGGGGGACUGCGUUCGCGCUCUCCCCUG